CGCGCAGGCGGGAUAAAAAAGUCAGUGGUGAAAUCCUACAGCUUAACUGUAGAACUGCCCUUGAUACUUUUAUUCUUGAGUUCGGGAGAGAGAGACGGAAUUCCAGGUGUAGUGGUGAAAUACGUAGAUAUCUGGAAGAACACCAGUUGCGAAGGCGGUCUCUUGGUCCGACACUGACGCUGAGGCGCGAAGGUGCGGGGAGCAAACA
Molecule: ribosomal RNA, 208 nt
Filed under: uncultured bacterium
Lineage: Bacteria
Description: partial 16S ribosomal RNA
Rfam family: Bacterial small subunit ribosomal RNA
Source: RNAcentral